RNAcentral lists this long non-coding RNA (233 nucleotides) under Elaeis guineensis (African oil palm). RNAcentral's name for it is "long non-coding RNA (EGUI_LNC011843)". The record is from RNAcentral. Lineage: Eukaryota; Viridiplantae; Streptophyta; Magnoliopsida; Arecales; Arecaceae.
GAACCACCAACCCUUGGCAUUAGGAUGAGGAUGAAGGACGAAGAAAGUUUGAAAGAGAGAAGGAUGGGGCUCAAUCGGUAUGAGCUGACAUAACAAAGUGAAACUGAUAAUCAACCGGAUGAAGUUUGGAGCAGCUGAGCAGGACAGAGACGGUAAUAGUCAAGAAGAUUCUGGACGAACUCUAGAAUCAAAAAUCGAAGAUCAGCCUGAAGGUCUUCAACAUAAAAUACGAU